CCUUCCGUAGGUGAACCUGCGGAAGGAUCAUUAAAGAGUAAGGGUGCUCAGCGCCCGACCUCCACCCUUUGUUGUUAAAACUACCUUGUUGCUUUGGCGGGACCGUUCGGACUCGAGCCGCUGGGGAUUCGUCCCAGGCGAGCGCCCCCAAGUUAAACCAAACUCUUGUUAUUUAACCGGUCGUCUGAGUUAAAAUUUUGAAUAAAUCAAAACUUUCAACAACGGAUCUCUUGGUUCUCGCAUCGAUGAAGAACGCAGCGAAAUGCGAUAAGUAAUGUGAAUUGCAGAAUUCAGUGAAUCAUCGAAUCUUUGAACGCACAUUGCGCCCCUUGGUAUUCCGAGGGGCAUGCCUGUUCGAGCGUCAUUACACCACUCAAGCUAUGCUUGGUAUUGGGCGUCGUCCUUAGUUGGGCGCGCCUUAAAGACCUCGGCGAGGCCACUCCGGCUUUAGGCGUAGUAGAAUUUAUUCGAACGUCUGUCAAAGGAGAGGAACUCUGCCGACUGAAACCUUUAUUUUUCUAGGUUGACCUCGGAUCAGGUAGGGAUACCCGCUGAACUUAAGCAUAUCAAUAAGCGGAGGAA
RNAcentral lists this ribosomal RNA (582 nucleotides) under Aureobasidium pullulans. RNAcentral describes it as "eukaryotic LSU rRNA". The stretch from base 211 to 364 matches the Rfam family "5.8S ribosomal RNA". Lineage: Eukaryota; Fungi; Ascomycota; Dothideomycetes; Dothideales; Saccotheciaceae. The record is from RNAcentral.